GAUGAACGCUGGCGGCGUGCUUAACACAUGCAAGUCGAACGAUGAAGCCCAGCUUGCUGGGUGGAUUAGUGGCGAACGGGUGAGUAACACGUGAGUAACCUGCCCUUAACUCUGGGAUAAGCCUGGGAAACUGGGUCUAAUACCGGAUAGGAGCGCCUACCGCAUGGUGGGUGUUGGAAAGAUUUAUCGGUUUUGGAUGGACUCGCGGCCCAUCAGCUUGUUGGUGAGGUAAUGGCUCACCAAGGCGACGACGGGUAGCCGGCCUGAGAGGGUGACCGGCCACACUGGGACUGAGACACGGCCCAGACUCCUACGGGAGGCAGCAGUGGGGAAUAUUGCACAAUGGGCGAAAGCCUGAUGCAGCGACGCCGCGUGAGGGAUGACGGCCUUCGGGUUGUAAACCUCUUUCAGUAGGGAAGAAGCGAAAGUGACGGUACCUGCAGAAGAAGCACCGGCUAACUACGUG
This 466-nucleotide ribosomal RNA is filed under the name uncultured bacterium. RNAcentral's name for it is "partial 16S ribosomal RNA". It matches the Rfam family "Bacterial small subunit ribosomal RNA", at positions 28 to 507 of the family's 1533-position model. The record is from RNAcentral.